UGAGGAAUAUUGGUCAAUGGGCGAGAGCCUGAACCAGCCAAGUAGCGUGCAGGAAGACGGCCCUAUGGGUUGUAAACUGCUUUUAUGUGGGGAUAAAGUGCUUGACGUGUCAUGCAUUGCAGGUACCACAUGAAUAAGGACCGGCUAAUUCCGUGCCAGCAGCCGCGGUAAUACGGAAGGUCCGGGCGUUAUCCGGAUUUAUUGGGUUUAAAGGGAGCGUAGGCUGUCUAUUAAGCGUGUUGUGAAAUUUACCGGCUCAACCGGUGGCUUGCAGCGCGAACUGGUCGACUUGAGUAUGCAGGAAGUAGGCGGAAUUCAUGGUGUAGCGGUGAAAUGCUUAGAUAUCAUGACGAACUCCGAUUGCGCAGGCAGCUUACUGUAGCAUAACUGACGCUGAUGCUCGAAAGUGCGGGUAUCAAACAGG
This 424-nucleotide ribosomal RNA is filed under the name uncultured Prevotella sp. Its description in RNAcentral is "bacterial SSU rRNA". It matches the Rfam family "Bacterial small subunit ribosomal RNA", at positions 355 to 776 of the family's 1533-position model. Lineage: Bacteria; Pseudomonadati; Bacteroidota; Bacteroidia; Bacteroidales; Prevotellaceae. The record is from RNAcentral.